UUAGAGUGUGCUAGCUUGCUAGAAUUUAGAUACAGGUGCUGCACGGCUGUCGUCAGCUCGUGUCGUGAGAUGUUGGGUUAAGUCCCGCAACGAGCGCAACCUCGUGUUUAGUUGCUAACAGUUCGGCUGAGAACUCUAAACAGACUGCCUACGCAAGUAGGAGGAAGGUGAGGACGACGUCAAGUCAUCAUGGCCCUUACGGCCAGGGCUACACACGUGCUACAAUGGGGUAUACAAAGAGCAGCGAUACGGUGACGUGGAGCAAAUCUAGAAAAUGCCUCUCAGUUCGGAUUGUAGUCUGCAACUCGACUACAUGAAGUUGGAAUCGCUAGUAAUCGUAGAUCAGCAAUGCUACGGUGAAUACGUUCCCGGGUCUU
RNAcentral lists this ribosomal RNA (377 nucleotides) under uncultured Arcobacter sp. RNAcentral's name for it is "bacterial SSU rRNA". It matches the Rfam family "Bacterial small subunit ribosomal RNA", at positions 1002 to 1382 of the family's 1533-position model. Lineage: Bacteria; Pseudomonadati; Campylobacterota; Epsilonproteobacteria; Campylobacterales; Arcobacteraceae. The record is from RNAcentral.